GGAGUUCAGAUGAUGAUCAAUUGCAUAGUUCAAAUGAAUGUUUGUGAUUAGAAAAGUUUUAGUCUUUCCGAUGAACUCACAUUUUUUUAUAUUUUUUAAUUUAAUAAUGAUUGUAUUUAAAUUAGUGGGAUAAUGACGACUCCAUGUGAUAAGGUCUCGUUCGUCGUAAUGGUGUGAUGAAUUCACACCUUGCCCCAUGUGAUAAGGUCUCGUUCGUCGUAAUGGUGUGAUGAAUUCACACCUUGCCGACCAUCCUGUUAUACCACCACCCAUAAACUGA
Molecule: long non-coding RNA, 280 nt
Filed under: Helianthus annuus (common sunflower)
Lineage: Eukaryota; Viridiplantae; Streptophyta; Magnoliopsida; Asterales; Asteraceae
Description: sRNA HanXRQr2_Chr15g0702251
Rfam family: Small nucleolar RNA Z43 (bases 204-280)
Source: RNAcentral